This 218-nucleotide ribosomal RNA is filed under the name Triticum aestivum (bread wheat). RNAcentral's name for it is "partial small subunit ribosomal RNA". The record is from RNAcentral. Lineage: Eukaryota; Viridiplantae; Streptophyta; Magnoliopsida; Poales; Poaceae.
CUGCACUCCUGCGACGUUUACACAAGAAUUUCAGGGGGUUCCGUACUCGCCUACUACUCGCGACCCGUAGGUUCAGUGAGUGUGUGGUGGGGUGCUCGGCCGUUUUGAUCGAUCCUUGCAGCAGGCCGGCGGAGCAAGAUGAGAGGCCCGCGUUAGGUCUCUUAUACAGCCUUCUUGACCGCUAGGACCCUGCUUGAUCCCAUGCACCUCUAAGCAGC